This 345-nucleotide ribosomal RNA is filed under the name uncultured bacterium. RNAcentral describes it as "bacterial SSU rRNA". It matches the Rfam family "Bacterial small subunit ribosomal RNA", at positions 8 to 334 of the family's 1533-position model. The record is from RNAcentral.
AGGGUUUGAUUAUGGCUCAGGACGAACGCUGGCGGCGCGCCUAACACAUGCAAGUCGAGCGGAGUUUGCUGACGGAAGCUUUCGGGUGGAAGAUAGUAAACUUAGCGGCGGACGGGUGAGUAACACGUGAGCAACCUGCCUCUCAGAGGGGGAUAACGUUUGGAAACGAACGCUAAUACCGCAUAACACCGAGACGUCACAUGGCGAUUCGGUCAAAGGAGCAAUCCGCUGAGAGAUGGGCUCGCGUCCGAUUAGAUAGUUGGCGGGGUAACGGCCCACCAAGUCGACGAUCGGUAGCCGGACUGAGAGGUUGAUCGGCCACAUUGGGACUGAGACACGGCCCAG